Molecule: unclassified non-coding RNA, 2320 nt
Filed under: Hevea brasiliensis (rubber tree)
Lineage: Eukaryota; Viridiplantae; Streptophyta; Magnoliopsida; Malpighiales; Euphorbiaceae
Source: RNAcentral
AAGGUAAGUUUCAUAAUGUCUUUUAAGUGUAUUCCCAACACCAGUCAUCCUAUUGGUUACUGUGUGAUUUCGCAUCUUUGAGAAAACUUGCCCUUUCCAAUUGAUGCCGUUGCCAACAUGAAACCCACCCCUUGAAACCACCUCCCUAUACAAGUUAAAGAGGUCAAGGCGUUUGGCAUUGAGAAUAGCGUCUGGAAACUCAGCAAUGCCACUUUGAGGAAUGAGACGAGUAUGCCCACGAAGAAUUAAAAACUGCAUUACAUCUUUCAGAAAUUCCUCCUCAGAACACACAUGUAUUGGGCUUCGCCCACAACCAUGUUUCUUCAGUGGAAGAGGAUUCAAGGAUAUAAUUUGCUUAGCCUGAUGUGAGCUUGAUGCUGAUUUUCGAUGGGUGGCCGGAGUUACUCCAACAUUGCUACCCUUAGUUGAAGAAGGAAUGAUGGGCAGAUUCGUUUUCACCUGGUUCCCAUCAAGGCUAUCCAGCUCCGAAAUUCGUGAAAAUGGUAGCAUUUUCUGGUGACGGACAUGAGGAAUGGGCCUCAUAGCAGCAACUUUGAGUUUUUGUCUAGCAGUCACCAGAGGUGUGGCAACACCAUUCCCUAAUCGACUUUCUUUCUCUUCUUUCACAGCCACAUGAUUUCCAGGUGUUAACCCAUUUUGGCAUAUAUAACUCGCUCCCUGGUAAAAAUCAGACCUCUUUCUACUAGGAGCAGGCGGUCUUAACCAUGCUGGAGGAUUGCCCAUCUUAAAAUUACCAAAAAACCCAUCCUUCCCUUGCUUUGUGCAGAAGAAAAGAAGUCGUUGAGCAUCAUCUUUCUCAAAAGAAGCUACAGCUAGUCCCUGAAUGCUAGCAAUGCCAAGUGCAACUAAACUACGAUAUGAAACAUCAGGAGCCAAUUGUCUCAAAACCUGUGAAGCCCACAUCGGAACCUUCAUGCAAACUUCAAAUACUUCUGAUCCACAAGCUACAGACAUUGAUCUGCGAGGUGCAGAUAUAGGUGGUCUAUUUUCCUCAUCACUUGGCAGUACAUGAACCAGCGUACUAUUUUCAAUGAUUUCACUUUUUAUGUGAUUCUCUAAUAGCAGAUCAUCAAAACAUGUUUGAGCACUGCCUGAAACUAGAAGUGAAAUAUGAGCAGAACUACUGGUUGACAGAUCACACCGCAUAGUCACAACACCACGGGAAAAUGUACCAGCCUGAAGAGGAGGUGGAAGGGCACUGACCCGGUUAUGCAGCUUACUCCCUCGCAUUUCUAUGUUUAAGAGGGCAUUCAGACCAUCGGCUAUAGAUCCCAACAAGCAUUCAUCCAAUGAGCAUGGCAAUCCACAGACAAGAAAUCUCAUGGUCACAUCAUCAUCAUAGAUCUUUAUGGCAGGAAGAGCAUCAGAAUUGCUUUCUUCAUCAUCUUCCGGACCUGCCUCAGGUAGAGGGACAUCAAUGUUUGGAGGAUCACCAAGCAGGUGAGGACCCACAUUAUCACUGUCCCUCUGACUCAUCUCAGAGAGAGCAAAAUUAUUUCGUACACAGUAAAGCCUGAAGGAUGCAUGUGCAAGUUGGAAAGCAUCCCAAACAUGACAAGUUGAACUCUGUGCCACACAUAAAAAUGCAUGUCGGAAAUGGGAUGCUGCAUAGCAGGAAAAUGCACUCUUCCAGUACAUCACAUAAGGAAUUCCCUUAGCAUGAAGUGCUUCAGCCAAUUUUUCUCCAUUUGGGAGCUCCAAAUAGACAGCAGUUGGCAGUACGGAACUAAAAAGUCCAGAAAUGGCCUCCGCAGAAGACAAAUCAAGACCUCCCCAAACAAGUGAACCAACUUCAUCAUUCGAAAGAUGUUCUCCUUGCAAAUAUACAAUAUUUGGCUGCCAUGAAUCUAAAACUUUAUGAAAUUCAUCGGUACUUGGGUUUUUCAACACUUGCACCUCCAAACGCCCUGAUGAUACAAUCUCCGGGAAGCAAUAUCUCGGCUUACCAUCAUGUACAUCUUUCUUCUGAUCAUAUUCAGAAGUUCUCCCACAUAAUACUGCAAGAAGACUGCAACUUUGUCUGGAAGCUCCUUGACAAUGAAACAUCACGUUAACCUGGCUUCCCUUUCCUAAAACUAUUUCACACCUACAAAGAAAAUCUAACUGCAGCAGCUAAACUCCACUCCACUAUAAUCUUACACCCUGAAUCUAAACUCUUUAGCGAACCCAGAUAGAGAAAUCAUAGAACAUCAACGAUUUCCAUUAUAGCUCCGAAUCCACCCACGAAUCGAAAACCCAAAUAGAGUAAAUAAACAGCUAAUUCAGCCACAGAUGAAAAGGCAAAUAAAGUACAAAAUAG